UUAUGGCCAUAUCAUGCUGAAACACCUUUUCUAGUAUGAUCACUGAAGUUAAGCAACAUCAAGCUUGGUCAGUACCUAGAUGGGUAAUUGCUUGGGAAUACCAGGUGCUGUAAG
Non-coding RNA from Acanthosepion pharaonis, 114 nucleotides. Lineage: Eukaryota; Metazoa; Mollusca; Cephalopoda; Sepiida; Sepiidae. The record is from the annotation of a GenBank genome assembly.